Sapajus apella (tufted capuchin) is the source of this 1034-nucleotide long non-coding RNA. RefSeq lists it as uncharacterized. The transcript has 2 exons. The record is from RefSeq and is a predicted model, not a curated record. NCBI's taxonomy places the organism in Eukaryota, Metazoa, Chordata, Mammalia, Primates, Cebidae.
UUUCUAUUAAAAAUGAAAUAAACAACACAAACAAACUAUAGGUCAGAGAAAGUUUGAGAACUUUAGAGUCAGAUAUGUCUGAACUUCAAUCCCAGCCAAGCCACUUACUGCUUAGAUUUGAGAACUUCUCAGCUUCUUGUGUGUGCGUGAUGUAUAUGAGUAUGAAAAUAAGAAUGUGUAUUUUAUCACUCAGUUUUCAGUAAGAAUACAGAAACCAUUCCAGAGAUCCAAGUAGAGAAAGAUUUAAUGCAAGGAGUUUGUUACAAAGUUGCAAGAAGGUUCAGAGACACAUAACCAGGGAAAGCAGGUACCCAAAGAUCAGGAAGCUACUACCAAUCUGGAUUUAGAGGAGCAAACAGGAGAAAAGUUAUCACCCAAAGAUCAAAAAGCUGGAGCCAUGAAUCUGUACCAGCUACUGAUGCUAUUGGAGUUUGUAUUGCUGAUGCUAUGCAACCACCUUCACUUUUGCUAGGCAGGAACCAUUGCUGCUGAUGUUGCCAGAAGCACUGCCAGAAACAGAAGGGCUUUUUCCUUUCUCUUCCCUUCAGACCUAAUUGGAACCAAACUGACAAGGGAGUCUGAGAAAUGUGGUUUUCAGAUUUCCAGCCCUGGUGGUAUAGGGAAGAUUACAGAAAAGUGGAUGUGGGAAUGAGCACCAAUAGACAAUAUCUGCUAUGUGUAUUCGCAUGCAUUGUAACUCUUGGUUGCAUGUAAUAAAAUCCAGCUUAGGCCAGGCAUGGUGGCUCACGCCUGUAAUCCCUUCACUUUGGGAGGCUGAGGUGGGAGGAUCGCUUGAGCACACGAGUUCUGGACCAGUCUGGAGAACACAGUGAGACCCUAUCUCUACUAAAAAUACAAAAAGCCAGGUGCGGUGGCGCGUGCCUGUGGUCCAGGUACUCCAGGGGCUGAGCUGGAAGGAUAACCUGAGCCCUGGAGGUUGGGGCUUCAUAAAGCCGUGAUCCUGCCACUGUUCUUCAGUCUGGGUGAUAGAGUGAGACCCUGCCUUGAAAGAGAAAAAGAAAGAAAGAACGAAA